GAUGAACGCUGGCGGCGUGCCUAAUACAUGCAGGUCGAGCGAACGGACGAGAAGCUUGCUUCUCUGAUGUUAGCGGCGGACGGGUGAGUAACACGUGGAUAACCUACCUAUAAGACUGGAAUAACUUCGGGAAACCGGAGCUAAUACCGGAUGAUAUUUUGAACCGCAUGGUUCAAAAGUGAAAGACGGUCUUGCUGUCACUUAUAGAUGGAUCCGCGCUGCAUUAGCUAGUUGGUAAGGUAACGGCUUACCAAGGCAACGAUGCAUAGCCGACCUGAGAGGGUGAUCGGCCACACUGGAACUGAGACACGGUCCAGACUCCUACGGGAGGCAGCAGUAGGGAAUCUUCCGCAAUGGGCGAAAGCCUGACGGAGCAACGCCGCGUGAGUGAUGAAGGUCUUCGGAUCGUAAAACUCUGUUAUUAGGGAAGAACAUAUGUGUAAGUAACUGUGCACAUCUUGACGGUACCUAAUCAGAAAGCCACGGCUAACUACGUG
This 497-nucleotide ribosomal RNA is filed under the name uncultured bacterium. RNAcentral describes it as "partial 16S ribosomal RNA". It matches the Rfam family "Bacterial small subunit ribosomal RNA", at positions 28 to 507 of the family's 1533-position model. The record is from RNAcentral.